AGAUUUAUAAGUUAAUUAAACUAAUAACCUUCAAAGUUAAAAAUAAAUUCUUUUUUAAAUCUG
This 63-nucleotide transfer RNA is filed under the name Naesiotus nux. RNAcentral's name for it is "tRNA-Trp". Lineage: Eukaryota; Metazoa; Mollusca; Gastropoda; Stylommatophora; Orthalicidae. The record is from RNAcentral.